RNAcentral lists this ribosomal RNA (120 nucleotides) under uncultured bacterium. RNAcentral describes it as "partial 16S ribosomal RNA". It matches the Rfam family "Bacterial small subunit ribosomal RNA", at positions 796 to 916 of the family's 1533-position model. The record is from RNAcentral.
CACGCCCUAAACGAUGUCAACUGGUUGUUGGGUGGGUAACCACUUAGUAACGAAGCUAACGCGUGAAGUUGACCGCCUGGGGAGUACGGUCGCAAGAUUAAAACUCAAAGGAAUUGACGG